This 589-nucleotide long non-coding RNA is filed under the name Olea europaea (common olive). RNAcentral's name for it is "long non-coding RNA (OEUR_LNC011823)". The record is from RNAcentral. Lineage: Eukaryota; Viridiplantae; Streptophyta; Magnoliopsida; Lamiales; Oleaceae.
GGGAAGGCUGGGCCAAUUUCACAUGGUGCAUCAUCUCCAAGCACCUUAUUACGGGUAAUCUUCUUUAUCUGUAAGGGUUAGGUGGGAGCGGGGUUAAGUUAUUUAUUUAUUUUUUUAUAAAAAAAUUUGGGUCUUAUAAUUUUCUUUUAAAUCUGGUGGUGAAAGAAAAAUGGAAAUUGGCAAGUAAAAGAAUAUUGAGUAGUGCAACAAAAAUGCUGCAUCAAGAUUUGUUAGUAAAAUCAAUCACAAUCCGAUGUCGUGGAAUCUUAAGCAUCAACGGAAUUCAAGUGAUUGACACUUGAGCAGUAGACCAUGCUUUUUAUGGAUUGAGACACUCAAUUUUUCCUCCAGUACAAAAGCCGGGUACCCAGCCAGAUAACUCACAAACGGUGUUCCCCCCGAAUAAAAAUGGCCAAAAAUUAAACCCCUUAUGGUGUAUUAUCUGUAAAGCCCCUGUGAAGCACUCUCAGUACGUCUAGCAUGGCUCGAGACAAUUGUUUGCGCCUCGACCCUGCAUUUUGAAACCUGCUCCUCAGAUUGAGUUUAGGAAUGAUUUUCUUGCUUAGCUUCCUUUGGUUGUCUCACUNNN